Molecule: long non-coding RNA, 557 nt
Filed under: Felis catus (domestic cat)
Lineage: Eukaryota; Metazoa; Chordata; Mammalia; Carnivora; Felidae
Description: lncRNA (ENSFCAG00000053854.1)
Source: RNAcentral
AAUAUUCUGGAAUCACAAACACUCAAAGGUCAGACCGGCCCCAAAUGACUGACGAAGAAGAGAAAACAUCCGUGUGCUGGUUGGGGAUGAAGGAGCGGGCCGGGUUCCUGUUCCGCACCAGCUCCCAAGAGGCUGUAGGAAUCUUCCAGCCCUGACACGGGGACCAGGUGUGAUGUGGGGCCCUGGGAACCGACCUCGAGGCCCUGGUGCUUUGCGGGCAGCUUCCCAACAGACUGACAGAUGAAAAAGUGUGUGUACGAGGAUAUGGUGGACCAUGUGGGUCAGCGUGGAGCGAGCCAGGGAGAGACAGGCGUGGGUCUAGGAGGUGCAGUGUCGACCCUGCAGCUACGGUCGAAGCCGUGAACAUGGGAUUGCUGCCCCCCUGGAGUGUUUGAAGGCAGCAGCCGCAGCCCCACCUUCCUGGCCCCUCAGAUCCCUGACUGCAAUACAGGCAGGGGCUCCCCUGGCAGGUAAGCUCUGUGGUGAUGGUCUAGGAAUCCCUCCUCUGGGCCCAGUCUCCAGGCUGUUCCUCCAGCCCUUCCAAUAAUCUGUGAGCA